AAAAGAAGGAUGCUGGCCGUAGAGGGACGUAUUCAUAGAAGUGAACAGCAAUUGUGCAGCUUUUGCAGAUGUGCAGGAGAAAGCCUGCCUCCUCCCAUCAGCCGGAGAGUCUGCGAAGACUUGUGAGGAAGUCUUUGCAAGAUCUUCAGCCCUUUGCUAAAGGAGAUGGAAAUUCCAGCCCAGCAGUAAAGAGAUCCUUCAAUAAAGAAAUAACCAACCAGGAUAUCAAACUGUUUGACAAUGUGAGAUGUUUGAGGUGUAGACAUGACCAUCAAGAUGCAUCUUUGGAUUCAGAAAGAUCUAACUAUUGUGCUGUGUGGAGAACAUCAAGACAUAAUAUGGAUGAUGAUUUUCACCUCUGGAAAACAGUAUUGGGAGCUGGAUGUGGGCCAGGUCUUGGGAGUAAGCUCUAGGAGUCUAUAAGGAUUCUUGGAUAAGGAAGAAUGACCUGCUGAUGGAAUCUGAGGAUACAUUUCUUCUUUUAUAUGUGAAAGAGAGUAAUUGUUACACUUUCCUGUCCAGUUUCCCAGUGUUUGUCAAUAAAGAAAUCUCUGGGCCAGUUG
This 563-nucleotide long non-coding RNA is filed under the name Felis catus (domestic cat). RNAcentral's name for it is "lncRNA (ENSFCAG00000049868.1)". Lineage: Eukaryota; Metazoa; Chordata; Mammalia; Carnivora; Felidae. The record is from RNAcentral.